RNAcentral lists this ribosomal RNA (482 nucleotides) under uncultured bacterium. RNAcentral describes it as "bacterial SSU rRNA". It matches the Rfam family "Bacterial small subunit ribosomal RNA", at positions 1 to 507 of the family's 1533-position model. The record is from RNAcentral.
CUGACGAGUUUGAUCCUGGCUCAGAACGAACGCUGGCGGCAGGCCUAACACAUGCAAGUCGAACGCCGUAGCAAUACGGAGUGGCAGACGGGUGAGUAACACGUGGGAACGUACCCUUCGGUUCGGAAUAACUCAGGGAAACUUGAGCUAAUACCGGAUGCGUCCGUAAGGAGAAAGAUUUAUCGCCGAAGGAUCGGCCCGCGUCGGAUUAGCUAGUUGGCGGGGUAAUGGCCCACCAAGGCGACGAUCCGUAGCUGGUCUGAGAGGAUGAUCAGCCACGCUGGGACUGAGACACGGCCCAGACUCCUACGGGAGGCAGCAGUGGGGAAUAUUGGACAAUGGGCGCAAGCCUGAUCCAGCAAUGCCGCGUGUGUGAAGAAGGCCUGCGGGUUGUAAAGCACUUUUGUUCGGGAAGAAAUCAUGUCGGUUAAUACCCGAUGUGGAUGACGGUACCGAAAGAAUAAGCACCGGCUAACUUCGUG